This is a long non-coding RNA of Leptinotarsa decemlineata (Colorado potato beetle), 291 nucleotides long. NCBI's taxonomy places the organism in Eukaryota, Metazoa, Arthropoda, Insecta, Coleoptera, Chrysomelidae. The record is from RefSeq and is a predicted model, not a curated record.
GGUUCGAAGGUUUUUGAAUCCUACGUAUAAUAAACUGCGCAUUGCAGAUAACCCGAGAAAUAAUUGAUGGAAAACAACAUGAAACAGAUUGAAUGAACUGUAAUCCUUGGGAGAUUGUUGUUCUGAUUAUUGGAGUCCUUGAUGGAAUGAUUCCCUUUCUACUCUGGAACCUCAAGAUCAUGUCGGCUUGCCGUACGAUGGUAGAAUUAUUGGCCGGAAAAUUACAGAAGGCUGUCAUUCUCGGCCGAGAAUCAAGUUUUGUCUAUGGGUUCUGGAAAAGUUCACAUCUCG